Molecule: ribosomal RNA, 574 nt
Filed under: Klebsiella aerogenes
Lineage: Bacteria; Pseudomonadati; Pseudomonadota; Gammaproteobacteria; Enterobacterales; Enterobacteriaceae
Description: bacterial SSU rRNA
Rfam family: Bacterial small subunit ribosomal RNA
Source: RNAcentral
AGGCGUGGCUUCCGGAGCUAACGCGUUAAGUAGUCCGCCUGGGGAGUACGGCCGCAAGGUUAAAACUCAAAUGAAUUGACGGGGGCCCGCACAAGCGGUGGAGCAUGUGGUUUAAUUCGAUGCAACGCGAAGAACCUUACCUACUCUUGACAUCCUGAGAACUUCCCAGAGAUGGAUUGGUUCCUUCGGGAACUGUGAGACAGGUGCUGCAUGGCUGUCGUCAGCUCGUGUUGUGAAAUGUUGGGUUAAGUCCCGCAACGAGCGCAACCCUUAUCCUUUGUUGCCAGCGGUUAGGCCGGGAACUCAAAGGAGACUGCCAGUGAUAAACUGGAGGAAGGUGGGGAUGACGUCAAGUCAUCAUGGCCCUUACGAGUAGGGCUACACACGUGUUCCAAUGGCGCAUACAAAGAGAAGAGACCUCGCGAGAGCAAGCGGUCUUCAUAAACUGUGUUGUAGUCCGGAUUGGAGUUUGCAAUUGGACUCCAUGAAGUGGGAAUCGCUAGUAAUCGUGGAUCAGAAUGCCACGGUGAAUACGUUCCCGGCCCUUGUACACACCGCCCGUCACACCAUGGGA